GAAUCCACCGGGGUGCAGCGAGGCUGUGGAAAGUCCCACCCAGAACGUGAGUGGGGACUCACCUGCACGUUUUGCGAAGAGGCCCACAGUCCUUUGCGUGGCGCUCGGACUACAUUUCCCAACGGCCCCUGCACGCCCUGGGGGCUGUUCCAUGCGGUGUUGCGCCUGCGUAGCCGGCGGGCUGGCAGUGAGACUGACUGCGUCGGGGUUGAGACUGGGUGGAUGAGGCUCACCCCGGCGGGGAGAAGGGACGAGGAGGGGCGGACAGCGGAAGGUCCGGGAGUGUCCGCCAUAAAGUCGUUUGAGGUGACCGUUGCGUAAUUGUGAGUCUGUGAGAGAAGAUGUGAAGUAUGGCCUCGUCCCGGUCAUCUGGGCGUGCGGGUCCCGGGUUUUGAUCGCGCGUUUGUGUAGUUUUAACUUCUAGUCAUGGCGAAUGAUCGCAGGAGAGCACAGACUGGACCCUGCUACGAUCUCUCUUGGAGUGGAUCAGACUGAUGAUCACCAACAACCAACUCAUUCCCGGAUAAGGAAGAAGAGAGUGUCACCUACUUCAGUGUGGUUUCAACCCUACUUCUGCAUCUUAAAGACACUUGUACAACGUUGGACACUGUGCAGGAUGAUGCCACUUCAUCUUGGAUGCUAAUCUGCCAUGUUGACUUCUGAUUAACCCCAGGCCCAGGAAUGCCUCAAGAUUUCUACUUUACUUACUGUUGCUUGUGUAAGCCAAGACAACCUUGAUGUUAUCAUAAACAUGUACUUACCUAAGUCCUGUCCUUUGGCAAAUUAUGGGCUAUGAGACACAGCAUUCUUGCCUUUCCCUGAGGGGUCAAUUUCAGCGAUCCUACACAUUCCUUCUGAAGCACUUAUGCUCUUUCUAUAUGGUAUGUAAGCUCUCGGUCUGGGGAGUAACAGUGCAGAGAUCUACCUGUCUUGUUGCCACAUGUUUCUAAACUUUCCAAUAAAUCACCUUCUACUGA
Molecule: long non-coding RNA, 977 nt
Filed under: Homo sapiens (human)
Lineage: Eukaryota; Metazoa; Chordata; Mammalia; Primates; Hominidae
Description: HSALNT0398857
Source: RNAcentral